GUGAAUCAUCGAAUCUUUGAACGCAAAUUGCACUCUCUUCUGUUAGUAUGCCUGUUUGAGGUUCAGUAUUAAUAAAAAUCGGCGUGUUGCUGUUUUGUGACGUUCUGGAGUUUUGGUCAUCUUAUAACAACACCCUUUCAGGGUAUUUUUAAGAUGCUUAAAAUUGAUCUUUUUUGUGCACUUUUGACGUUCAUAAAUUUUUUUUUAUUCGUCUAUCUUAUUGCCAAAUCUCUAUUAGAUUCUACCAUAUCGUGUGGU
This 258-nucleotide unclassified non-coding RNA is filed under the name Rhizophagus prolifer. RNAcentral describes it as "partial contains 5.8S ribosomal RNA and internal transcribed spacer 2". The stretch from base 1 to 65 matches the Rfam family "5.8S ribosomal RNA", at positions 84 to 154 of the family's 154-position model. Lineage: Eukaryota; Fungi; Glomeromycota; Glomeromycetes; Glomerales; Glomeraceae. The record is from RNAcentral.